This is a long non-coding RNA of Mytilus californianus (California mussel), 2257 nucleotides long. RefSeq lists it as uncharacterized. The record is from RefSeq and is a predicted model, not a curated record. Lineage: Eukaryota; Metazoa; Mollusca; Bivalvia; Mytilida; Mytilidae. The transcript is spliced from 3 exons.
UUUCAAUUUUCCAGGAAAUAUUUGUCUACCUAAAGUAUUGAUUUGUAAAAGGUCUCUUUUUGUUUUCAUGAGUAUGAAAUAAUGAACGGACAAUGAAGCCGUCCGCAUUGAUUUUGAUUUUGGGAAGGCGUUUUGAAGUAAAUGAAGAAUUGUUAUAUUAUGAUGAUGAGAGCCAACACAAAGAAUAUGCACUAAUGCCAUACUAUCAGCUGCUUCUAUCAUAAGAUCGUCAAAUACUAGCAGUUUAUGUCCCUGUUCACUUCCCCAUUCAUUUAUCUGGUCCAUGGUGGGAAGACCCUUGUGAAAUAAGAUGGAUGAUACACUCUGUUGCAUUUCAGAAUACAAUGGUUGCCAAAUCGAAUAGCAGAAAAAUAUACUUGAGGGUGGAGUUUGAAACAUCCCAUCUGCUUGUUCUAGAAGGUGUUUUGUCAACACGGUCUUACCAGAUCCGGAAGGACCUACCAUAAAAAUGGAUGUAGGUGAUUCGAAUUUUAAUGUUGCGUGCUGUUUUUUCAAGCCUUCCAUCCUGUUUGAAGGUUGAAGUAAUAAUAAGGUAACAUGUAUAGUGAAUGUUUGUUUUUUUAUAGAUAAAUGAGAAACAAGUAUAGAGGUUAGUCAUAUUUUUUAUUAACAUUUAUUUUUACUGAUACAUAUCUGAGAUUGUUCUACAAGCAUAAAACAUCGAGACAAUUUAUCAUUUACAAAAUCGAAUACAAAUCGAUCAUUUAAGUCAUAGUCACUUGUAAAAAGCUCUCCCAUUUUUACAAUCGACAGCCUUUCUUUGAUACGACACCAUAGAAAAAAAACACAAUAUUGUCCACACACAGACGUCUUGUCUCCCUGGAGACGUUUAUUGUUAAAUGUCACUUUGUCAUAUCUUCUUAUGAAAUGUUUGAUUGAAGAAGAAUAUAGAUCUGACGAAUUGCCAUACGAAUCGAAACAUUCUAGCUCUUGCUGUUUGUUCACAUAAAAGGCAAUCCAGUGUUGACCUGGUUUAGAUAUUGGAUCCGUGUUUACAAUUAAUCCAGUUAGUUCACGUACAUUAUUGGGUAAUUGAUCUGAGGCAAAAAUACCAACCACUCGUUUCUUUAAAUCUGCGUCACAGGAAAUAAUACUUUUCAACUGAUUGGUAUUCAUUCUAUUUCGAUAGUGCGAGUUGCCGUUAUACCAAACAUCCCCUGUUGUUCUGAAUAUAUGAAACAGGUGAUUGCUUUUGAUAGAGCAGUACCAAACUGAGCUUCUAGUCUGACAUUUCCUUGUUUUAUUAAGGUUAAAUAGUGUGCACUUUCUCCAAAUUCUGGUUCUAAUUCGAAGCAGUACAAUGCAUAUCCUUUAGCAAAGUCAUCUCGGGUGAUUUGAUUACCAGAAUCUCGAGUGUCUUUUUCUGUUAUUUGGAAUAAUUUUGUAUAUGCCGGUAUGAUCGUUCGACCGGUGGUAGCGUCAAAAUUGAUCUGUAAAAUGUUACCUGAAACGGGUAUGUUAUUCACGUAUAAUCCAAUGUUUUUCAGGUUAAAAUGCUCAAAGUUGAAGGGGUUUGUGAUGUAACUACCUGCAGCAGCUUCGGCAUCAACAAAUCCAAUUACAACUCGGGCUGGACAUGACCCAAGAAAUAAAUCUGGAAAGUUAAUAUUCAAAGUACCACUUGGAAUGUUCAUAGGCAUGUAAUGGGGCGUAUCCAUGAUGAUAGUCCAAUCUCCAAUAGCAGUAGGUGUCAGUCGUCUCAGAACUCCUUUUUUUUCUCCAUCAACGAUCGAUUCCUCACAUACAUUUGAAUAGGCUGGAUCCAGAGGUACUUACUGAAGAUGUCUAUAACAAACAACAGCUGGGAAAACUGAUCGUUGGAGUCUUUUAAAUUAGACAUGUUCGCUAAAUCAGCGUCGAAUUGGUCGUCAAUACCAGAUACUACCACUCGUGCUUUACGAAAAGACUUUCGAGCUGGUUUUUGCAGACUGUAACUGUCUUGAUCCUGUAGCCAUUUUCGAACGCGAUGUCUACCUAUUGUUAUACCUUUGGAUUUCAAUAUUCUGUACAAUUUAUCAGGACCGACAUAUGCACCACCUUGGGAAAACUGAUAAUAUAUUUUUUCGAGGACCUUGUAUUGGUCAUUCAUUAUCUGAAGCGACAACUGAAACACUAUACUAAAAGUGAAAAGAAUAAAACAAAAGCAGUUAUAUAUAUUGUAUUUUAUUAUAUGAUAAAACAAAAGUCACAAUAUGUUGUUUACUGAGCAGUCACAUAAAAAAAAAUUGUCACAUCA